ACCAACUAAAUAAUGUUUCAAUUAAUUAUGAUUUCAAUAUGUUUAAUAAUUAAUUCAUUCAUUACCUUACAUUUUAUAAUGCAAGUAUAGUAUAAGCAUGAUUUUAUUUAAUUGAACAACUUACCAAGGCAUAUAACAACACAAACAUGAUUUUAAAUAUUCAAGUGGACAAAAUGCAAUCAAUUUAACACGAAUUAAUUUAAGUCAUCUUAAUUAGAAAAAGAAAAACAAAAACAAAAUUAUUCAUAUUCAUGAUCACAACAUAAAUAAGAAAAUUAAAGAGAAUGAAACUGGGAAACAAAUCCAGUAUUUCUCUGAAGCCAGACUAGUGCGCUCCUCUUCUUAUCUGCUCAUUCUAUUGAACCGAGGCCUCCAUGAAAAAUUUAAUGAUGCUAUUACAAGGUGGAAGAUGACUCUUUUUCAAGAGGGAAAUCGACAAGGGAAAUGGACAAGAAAGGGAAAACAAAGGAGAGAAAGAGAGUGAAAGAGAGAGAGAUGCGGGGAGGGGAGAGGUGUAUUGAAUGAAUAGGUGAAGGGGGUAUUUAUAGGUGAGAGUGGCUGCUAAAAAUAGCAAAUAAUUAGCAGCCAAAGAC
This 593-nucleotide long non-coding RNA is filed under the name Gossypium raimondii (Peruvian cotton). RNAcentral describes it as "long non-coding RNA (GRAI_LNC002615)". Lineage: Eukaryota; Viridiplantae; Streptophyta; Magnoliopsida; Malvales; Malvaceae. The record is from RNAcentral.